This 468-nucleotide ribosomal RNA is filed under the name uncultured bacterium. RNAcentral describes it as "partial 16S ribosomal RNA". It matches the Rfam family "Bacterial small subunit ribosomal RNA", at positions 28 to 507 of the family's 1533-position model. The record is from RNAcentral.
GACGAACGCUGGCGGCGUGCUUAACACAUGCAAGUCGAACGGAAAGGCCCUGCUUUUGUGGGGUGCUCGAGUGGCGAACGGGUGAGUAACACGUGAGUAACCUGCCCUUGACUUUGGGAUAACUUCAGGAAACUGGGGCUAAUACCGGAUAGGAGCUCCUGCUGCAUGGUGGGGGUUGGAAAGUUUCGGCGGUUGGGGAUGGACUCGCGGCUUAUCAGCUUGUUGGUGGGGUAGUGGCUUACCAAGGCUUUGACGGGUAGCCGGCCUGAGAGGGUGACCGGCCACAUUGGGACUGAGAUACGGCCCAGACUCCUACGGGAGGCAGCAGUGGGGAAUAGUGCACAAUGGGAGGAAGCCUGAUGCAGAAACGCCGCGUGCGGGAUGACGGCCUUCGGGUUGUAAACCGAUUUCGCCUGUGACGAAGAGUGAGUGACGGUAAUGGGUAAAGAAGCACCGGCUAACUACGUG